UACGUAGGGCGCGAGCGUUGUCCGGAUUUAUUGGGCGUAAAGAGCUCGUAGGUGGUUCGUCGCGUCUGUCGUGAAAGCCAGCAGCUUAACUGUUGGUCUGCGGUGGGUACGGGCGGGCUUGAGUGCGGUAGGGGAGAUUGGAAUUCCUGGUGUAGCGGUGGAAUGCGCAGAUAUCAGGAGGAACACCGAUGGCGAAGGCAGGUCUCUGGGCCGUUACUGACGCUGAGGAGCGAAAGCGUGGGGAGCGAACAGG
This 253-nucleotide ribosomal RNA is filed under the name uncultured organism. Its description in RNAcentral is "partial 16S ribosomal RNA". It matches the Rfam family "Bacterial small subunit ribosomal RNA", at positions 524 to 776 of the family's 1533-position model. The record is from RNAcentral.